RNAcentral lists this ribosomal RNA (253 nucleotides) under uncultured bacterium. RNAcentral's name for it is "partial 16S ribosomal RNA". It matches the Rfam family "Bacterial small subunit ribosomal RNA", at positions 524 to 776 of the family's 1533-position model. The record is from RNAcentral.
UACAGAGGUCUCAAGCGUUGUUCGGAUUCAUUGGGCGUAAAGGGUGCGUAGGUGGCGCUGUAAGUCGGGUGUGAAAUUUCGGAGCUUAACUCCGAAACUGCAUUCGAUACUGCGGUGCUUGAGGACUGGAGAGGAGACUGGAAUUCAUGGUGUAGCAGUGAAAUGCGUAGAUAUCAAGUGGAACACCAGUGGCGAAGGCGAAUCCCUGGAAAAUACCUGACACUGAGGCACGAAAGCUAGGGGAGCAAACAGG